GAUGAACGCUAGCGGCAGGCUUAACACAUGCAAGUCGAGGGGCAACACGGGUAGCAAUACCUGGUGGCGACCGGCGCAAGGGUGCGUAACGCGUGAGCAACAUGCCCUAUACAGGGGGAUAAUCCAGGGAAACUUGGUCUAAUAUCCCAUAGUAUUUAGAGGUGGCAUCACCACUAAAUUAAAGCUUCGGUGGUAUAGGAUUGGCUCGCGUGACAUUAGCUGGAUGGUGGGGUAACGGCUCACCAUGGCGAUGAUGUCUAGGGGUUCUGAGAGGAAGACCCCCCACACUGGGACUGAGACACGGCCCAGACUCCUACGGGAGGCAGCAGUGAGGAAUAUUGGACAAUGGAUGGAAAUCUGAUCCAGCCAUGCCGCGUGCAGGAAGACGGCCCUAUGGGUUGUAAACUGCUUUUAUAUGGGAGCAAUAAGGUUUACGCGUAGACCGAUGAGAGUACCAUAUGAAUAAGCAUCGGCUAACUCCG
This 482-nucleotide ribosomal RNA is filed under the name uncultured bacterium. RNAcentral's name for it is "bacterial SSU rRNA". It matches the Rfam family "Bacterial small subunit ribosomal RNA", at positions 28 to 505 of the family's 1533-position model. The record is from RNAcentral.